RNAcentral lists this transfer RNA (72 nucleotides) under Danionella translucida. It matches the Rfam family "tRNA". From Rfam's summary of the family: Transfer RNA (tRNA) molecules are approximately 80 nucleotides in length. The record is from Rfam by way of RNAcentral. Lineage: Eukaryota; Metazoa; Chordata; Actinopteri; Cypriniformes; Danionidae. RNAcentral also lists the same sequence under 1 other name.
UCCCUGAUGUUCUAGUGGUCAGGAUUCAGCUCUCUCACCGCCACGGUCCGGGUUCGAUUCCUGGUCAGGGAA